CUUAAGCUGUCAACAUAGAUAAUAGGUUGUCAACGUUCGACUAUAUUCGUGGCUCAUCAUGGUGUGACAGCUUGAAUUGGCUGUUAUGUGGUUAUGGUAUCAUUGAUAUUGUUCUUUUAUUAUUUUCAGUUAUUUUAUCAGACUGCUUAAUAAAUUUAUCAUUCACCCAUUCAUCGCAAUUGAUAUUUGAUCAUAUUUCUGCAUACAGUAGAAACAAACCAAUUUAUUUAAAAUGUAAAUUGAUUUAAAAAUGUCGAAGGAGCUAACAAUCGUAUUUGUUUAUAAUACUGAUUUGGUAAAGCAUGAAUAUGAUGAUCCAGCUUUAGCAGUUGUGUAUUUUUGCCCUUCAUGGCUCUCAGAAGAGAAGAAAACAACUAUUUGUGGUCAAAUAAUAGGAACUACUCACUUCUUAAAAUCUGUAUUUGGACAAACUCAAAUAAUUUCCCUUGAGAAUGGAAAGUUUUGUAUCAAGGAGUUUGGAAAAUUUAUUAUGGUAUUUUAUUAAAAAUUUAUAUGUAGAUAUACAAGAACAAGGCCUAGUUUUAAGCAGUUGCUUUAUGAUACUUCCAGUGUUGGCUUUAAGGGGGGGGGGCAGGUCGGGCGGCUAUGUACCCAUAGGUUAAAAGUUUUUGGUUUAAAAGCUGAAAUACAAUUAAGAUAUAAAAUUGUAAAUUUUAAAUUUCAUUGAAAUAUAUACACAAAAAUUCAA
Agrilus planipennis (emerald ash borer) is the source of this 709-nucleotide long non-coding RNA. RefSeq lists it as uncharacterized. The record is from RefSeq and is a predicted model, not a curated record. The transcript is spliced from 2 exons. Lineage: Eukaryota; Metazoa; Arthropoda; Insecta; Coleoptera; Buprestidae.